RNAcentral lists this ribosomal RNA (492 nucleotides) under uncultured bacterium. RNAcentral describes it as "partial 16S ribosomal RNA". It matches the Rfam family "Bacterial small subunit ribosomal RNA", at positions 29 to 507 of the family's 1533-position model. The record is from RNAcentral.
AGUGAACGCUGGCGGUAGGCCUAACACAUGCCAGUCGAACGGCAGCACAGUAAGAGCUUGCUCUUACGGGUGGCGAGUGGCGGACGGGUGAGGAAUACAUCGGAAUCUACUUUUUCGUGGGGGAUAACGUAGGGAAACUUACGCUAAUACCGCAUACGACCUACGGGUGAAAGCAGGGGAUCUUCGGACCUUGCGCGAUUGAAUGAGCCGAUGUCGGAUUAGCUAGUUGGCGGGGUAAAGGCCCACCAAGGCGACGAUCCGUAGCUGGUCUGAGAGGAUGAUCAGCCACACUGGAACUGAGACACGGUCCAGACUCCUACGGGAGGCAGCAGUGGGGAAUAUUGGACAAUGGGCGCAAGCCUGAUCCAGCCAUGCCGCGUGGGUGAAGAAGGCCUUCGGGUUGUUAAGCCCUUUUGUUGGGAAAGAAAAGCAGCAGGUUAAUACCCCGCUGUUCUGACGGUACCCAAAGAAUAAGCACCGGCUAACUUCGUG